Molecule: ribosomal RNA, 274 nt
Filed under: uncultured bacterium
Lineage: Bacteria
Description: partial 16S ribosomal RNA
Rfam family: Bacterial small subunit ribosomal RNA
Source: RNAcentral
ACACGUACUGUGCAAACGUUGUUCGGAAUCACUGGGCUUAAAGGGUGCGUAGGCGGCUGAUCAAGUCGGGUGUGAAAUCCCCCGGCUCAACCGAGGAACUGCGCCCGAAACUGCUUGGCUCGAGGGAGAUAGGGGCGCGUGGAACUUCGGGUGGAGCGGUGAAAUGCGUUGAGAUCCGAAGGAACGCCGGUGGCGAAAGCGACGCGCUGGGUCUCUUCUGACGCUGAGGCACGAAAGCUAGGGGAGCGAACGGGAUUAGAAACCCCAGUAGUCC